RNAcentral lists this small RNA (114 nucleotides) under uncultured eukaryote. RNAcentral's name for it is "partial transfer-messenger RNA". The record is from RNAcentral.
GGUUCAGGCAUGUCGAGUGUGCAAAGCAAGUAAAGUUGGAAAAAAGGCAAAAAAAUGCAAAAAAAAAAAAACACGCUCAGGAGUGGGCUGACUGACUAACUCCUCCUGCCUGCG